Molecule: ribosomal RNA, 380 nt
Filed under: Escherichia coli
Lineage: Bacteria; Pseudomonadati; Pseudomonadota; Gammaproteobacteria; Enterobacterales; Enterobacteriaceae
Also listed under: 1 other name
Description: bacterial SSU rRNA
Rfam family: Bacterial small subunit ribosomal RNA
Source: RNAcentral
UGUCGUCAGCUCGUGUUGUGAAAUGUUGGGUUAAGUCCCGCAACGAGCGCAACCCUUAUCCUUUGUUGCCAGCGGUCCGGCCGGGAACUCAAAGGAGACUGCCAGUGAUAAACUGGAGGAAGGUGGGGAUGACGUCAAGUCAUCAUGGCCCUUACGACCAGGGCUACACACGUGCUACAAUGGCGCAUACAAAGAGAAGCGACCUCGCGAGAGCAAGCGGACCUCAUAAAGUGCGUCGUAGUCCGGAUUGGAGUCUGCAACUCGACUCCAUGAAGUCGGAAUCGCUAGUAAUCGUGGAUCAGAAUGCCACGGUGAAUACGUUCCCGGGCCUUGUACACACCGCCCGUCACACCAUGGGAGUGGGUUGCAAAAGAAGUAGG